This 507-nucleotide ribosomal RNA is filed under the name uncultured bacterium. RNAcentral describes it as "bacterial SSU rRNA". It matches the Rfam family "Bacterial small subunit ribosomal RNA", at positions 30 to 516 of the family's 1533-position model. The record is from RNAcentral.
AUUGAACGCUGGCGGCGUGCCUAACACAUGCAAGUCGAGCGGUAACAGGUGUAGCAAUACAUGCUGACGAGCGGCGAACGGGUGAGUAAUGCUUUGGAAUCUUCCCAGUAGUGGGGAAUAACCAGUCGAAAGAUUGGCUAAUACCGCAUACGUCUGUAAAGGGAAAGCGGGGGACUCGCCUCUUCUUCGGAAGAGAGGCCUCGCGCUAUUGGAUGAGCCAAAGCGGAUUAGCUAGUUGGUGGGGUAAUGGCCUACCAAGGCGACAAUCCGUAGCUGGUCUGAGAGGACGACCAGCCACACCGGAACUGAGACACGGUCCGGACUCCUACGGGAGGCAGCAGUGGGAAUAUUGGACAAUGGGGAAACCCUGAUCCAGCGACGCCGCGUGUGUGAAGAAGGCCUGCGGGUUGUAAAGCACUUUUAGUGGGGACAAAAAGCUACGGAUUAAUACUCUGUGGUCUUGAUUUAACCUACAGAAAAGCACCGGCUAACUCUGUGCCAGCCGCC